GACGACGCUGGCGGCGUGCCUAACACAUGCAAGUCGAGCGGGGUUGAAGCGAGAGGUAACUCGAACUUCUACCUAGCGGCGGACGGGUGAGUAACGCGUGGGCAACCUGCCUCAAGGUCUGGGAUAACAGCCCGAAAGGGCUGCUAAUACUGGGUAUGCUUGUGGCCUCGCAUGGGGCUAUGAGCAAAGGGGAAACCCGCCUUGAGAUGGGCCCGCGUCCCAUCAGCUAGUUGGUGAGGUAACAGCUCACCAAGGCGACGACGGGUAGCCGGCCUGAGAGGGUGACCGGCCACACUGGGACUGAGACACGGCCCAGACUCCUACGGGGGGCAGCAGUGGGGGAUCUUGCACAAUGGGCGAAAGCCUGAUGCAGCGACGCCGCGUGAGCGAAGAAGGCCUUCGGGUUGUAAAGCUCUGUCUGGAGGGACGAAGGAAGUGACGGUACCUCCGGAGGAAGCCACGGCUAACUACGUG
Molecule: ribosomal RNA, 474 nt
Filed under: uncultured bacterium
Lineage: Bacteria
Description: bacterial SSU rRNA
Rfam family: Bacterial small subunit ribosomal RNA
Source: RNAcentral